AAGGAUCAUUAUCGAGAUCGAACCUCUGGGAGGGGGAGGGCUUCCCCGAACCCUUUCGAGGCUUCAGCCCUCUAACACCUGUGUGCACCCGCUGUAGGUCCUUAGGGACCUAUGUCUUCUUCGAACUCGCAUGUCUACAGAAUGUCGUCCGCGACCUCGGUCGCAGGAAACCUAAUACAACUUUCAGCAAUGGAUCUCUUGGCUCUCGCAUCGAUGAGGGACGCAGCGGAUCGCGAUAAGUAAUGUGAAUUGCAGAUUUUCCGUGAAUCAUCGAAUCUUUGAACGCACCUUGCGCUCCUUGGUAUUCCGAGGAGCAUGCCUGUUUGAGUGUCAUCGAAACAUCAGAUCGAAGCUUUCGACCUCGUCGGAGCUCGGUUUGGACUUAUGGGAGUCUGCGGGCGAACCUCCCGUCGGGGGGACGUCGGCUCUCCUCAAAAGCAUUAGCGUUGGGUGCGAGCCUCGCGUGGCACGGCCUCUUCGACGUCAUAAUGACCGUCGUGGGCUGGAAGUGCGUGGAUCGUAGAUGCCCGUCGCUCUCCAACUCUGCGAGCCCGGUCCGUCCGGCCGCGUGUUAUCGAAGCUUGACCUCAAAUCAGGUAGGACUACCCGCUGAACUUAAGCAUAUCAAUAAGCGGAGGAAAAGAAACUAACGAGGAUUCCCCUAGUAACUGCGAGUGAAGCGGGAAGAGCUCAAAUUUCGAAUCUGGCGGCCCUCGGUCGUCCGAGUUGUAAUCUAGAGAAGCGUCUUCCGCGCUGGACCGUGUACAAGUCUCCUGGAAGGGAGCAUCGUAGAGGGUGACAAUCCCGUCUCUGACACGGAACCCCCAGGGCUAUGUGAUGCGCUCUCGACGAGUCGAGUUGUUUGGGAAUGCAGCUCAAAUCGGGUGGUAAACUCCAUCUAAAGCUAAAUAUUGGCGAGAGACCGAUAGCGAACAAGUACCGUGAGGGAAAGAUGAAAAGCACUUUGGAAAGAGAGUUAAACAGUACGUGAAAUUGCUGGAAGGGAAACGCUUGAUGUCAGUCGCGUCGACCGGGGAUCAACCUUGCUUCUAGCUGGGCGUAUUUCCCGGUAGACGGGUCAGCAUCGAUUUCGGCCGUCGUAGAAGGGCGGGAGCGAACGUGGCACUCUCCGGAGUGUGUUAUAGCCUCCCGUACGGAUGCGAUGGCCGGGAUCGAGGAACUCGGCACGACCCCUCGAGGGUUCGGGACUUCGGUCCACGUAGCGUGCCCAGGAUGCGGCGUAAUGGCCUUAAGCGACC
Molecule: ribosomal RNA, 1259 nt
Filed under: uncultured Scleroderma
Lineage: Eukaryota; Fungi; Basidiomycota; Agaricomycetes; Boletales; Sclerodermataceae
Description: eukaryotic LSU rRNA
Rfam family: Eukaryotic large subunit ribosomal RNA (bases 583-1259)
Source: RNAcentral